CAGCCGCCACGGUAAUACGUAGGUCCCGAGCGUUGUCCGGAUUUAUUGGGCGUAAAGCGAGCGCAGGCGGUUUGAUAAGUCUGAAGUUAAAGGCUGUGGCUCAACCAUAGUUCGCUUUGGAAACUGUCAAACUUGAGUGCAGAAGGGGAGAGUGGAAUUCCAUGUGUAGCGGUGAAAUGCGUAGAUAUAUGGAGGAACACCGGUGGCGAAAGCGGCUCUCUGGUCUGUAACUGACGCUGAGGCUCGAAAGCGUGGGGAGCGAACAGGAUUAGAUACCCCUGUAGUCCCUGUCUCUUAUACC
This 301-nucleotide ribosomal RNA is filed under the name uncultured bacterium. Its description in RNAcentral is "partial 16S ribosomal RNA". It matches the Rfam family "Bacterial small subunit ribosomal RNA", at positions 509 to 808 of the family's 1533-position model. The record is from RNAcentral.